AUUCAGCAUUAACUUGUUAGUUAAUUAGGAUUUGUGGACUAAAAUUUCGUUUAACUUGUGUUCUAUGCCCAUUUAACACAGGAAUUUGAAGAUUGGCUCAAGUUUCAUGCUUGUUCUGUAGGGUUGCGGCUACUUCUAUAGCUGUGCUGGUUAUGGAAAACUGCAGUACAUUACUGGCUUCAAUGAAUCCAAAGAGCAUGAGCAAAAUUGAUAACUUGGGCAGGCAAUCUCUAUGAACAGCCUCAUUCACUGGAGAUACAAAAGGAUUGAUGCUUUGUGCCUCUGCUUAAAUCGUAGCCCGUAGGCUGUUUCUUUCAUGCCACUCCACAAACAUUCAAAUAAGUUCAGGUUCAAGGUUUCUAUUUUUUCUAAAACUAACAGAGAUUGUACUUCAUACUUGAAUUGAGAGAGGGAGGAAAUCCCCGAACGUUUGAAUCUCUUCCAUUGAUAUUAACACAUUAGGAAUUAUAGUUUUUCAUCCACCAUACUACAGUACAUAGGCAAGGAAAAAACGAAAAAGUUAUUAAAAAAUUAAAAUCUAACAUCGGCAUAUCGUGACUUGGUUUCACAUGUAUAUGUAUACCCCCAAACAUCAUAAUCUCUAUACGCGAGACUUCUCACUAGCAUGGCAAUGGUCGUAGAUUU
Molecule: long non-coding RNA, 645 nt
Organism: Cucurbita maxima (winter squash)
Lineage: Eukaryota; Viridiplantae; Streptophyta; Magnoliopsida; Cucurbitales; Cucurbitaceae
Exons: 2
Source: RefSeq, a predicted model, not a curated record